Micropterus salmoides (largemouth bass) is the source of this 860-nucleotide non-coding RNA. NCBI's taxonomy places the organism in Eukaryota, Metazoa, Chordata, Actinopteri, Centrarchiformes, Centrarchidae. The record is from the annotation of a RefSeq genome assembly.
AUUGUGAAGGGCAGGAUGCAGUCAGAGCUUUUUGAUGUUUCAGCAAGAGGAGGAGCUCCACAACUGAAUAUGAAAGGCUUCAUGUUGGAAGUGAAGAGCUGCUGUGUUCUCUCUAUUGUUCAUUCAGUACAAGUGGAAAUGAUGCAGCUCUGCUUAGUUUGGAUGAUCAUCUUCAUGUUUCACACUGGAUCCUCUGAGGAUUUAGUGAAACCAUUUAAAGAUGUAAUGCUGGCUUUGGAAGGAGACUCUGUGACUCUCUCCUGCAACUAUUCAGGCUCCGUCCUCUACCUCUACUGGUAUCAACAGAAGUCCAGUUCAUCUCCACAGUUUCUCAUUGCAGAUUUUUCAGAGAAUAUAGCACGGUGGACCUUUAAACAUAACAAAACAGCAAAGGAGUUUCAUCUGCAGAUCUCCUCUGCUGCAGUGACAGACUCUGCUGUGUACUACUGUGCUGUGAAGCCCACAGUGACAGGAAACACCAAAACUCUGUACAAUAACCUUUGGAGCAAAGACAACAGAAUACUCCACAACGUCCACUAGAGGGAGUCACACACUGUUAAACUUUCAGAGAGAAUCACACAACAAAUACUCAAACUUCUAAAAGCUGAGAGACAAACACCAAGGACGUCCUCUCUCUCCACUGCUGUUUUAUUCCUAAAAUAUAAACUGGCUCAUCCAACCUGACAUUUUGGCUCUGAGGACAAACAAGAAAUGACUAAUUAAUCACUUUUAUUCACUCAUAGCAUAUUUCUCUGUGUAUUUACUGUGUUGCUGAAUGAUGUUCAAAAUGUGACAGAACAGUUUUUAACUAAUUUCUCAUCAAAUGCUCCGUAUUUGUAUAGCACCUUUCUAGUUUAGUC